AGAGUUUGAUCCUGGCUCAGAACGAACGCUGGCGGCGUGCCUUAAGCAUGCAAGUCGAACGAAGUAGUGCCUAUGCGCUAUUUAGUGGCAAACGGGUGAGUAACACGUAGCUUAGCUGUCCUAAAGUGGGGGAUAGCCGCGGGAAGCCGCGGGUAAUACCGCAUGUGAUCUACGGAUUAAAGCUUAAUGCGCUUUAGGAGGUGGCUGCGGCCCAUCAGGUUGUUGGCGGGGUAAUGGCCCACCAAGCCUAUGACGGGUAUCCGGCCUGAGAGGGUGAUCGGACACAUUGGAACUGAGACACGGUCCAGACUCCUACGGGAGGCAGCAGCUAGGAAUUUUCCGCAAUGGACGAAAGUCUGACGGAGCAACGCCGCGUGAAGGAUGAAGGUCUUUAGGGAUUGUAAACUUCUUUUAUAUGAGACGAGUAAGGACGGUAUCAUAAGAAUAAGUCCCGGCUAACUACGUGCCAGCAGCCGCGGUAAUACGUAGGGGGCUAGCGUUGUUCGGAAUUACUGGGUAUAAAGGGUGCGCAGGCGGAUUUCUAAGCAAGAGGUGAAAUGUCAAGGCUCAACCAUGGCACUGCCUUUUGAACUGGUUAUCUGGAGUACAGAAGGGGAGAGCAGAAUUUCCGGUGUAGGGGUGGAAUCUAUAGAUAUCGGAAGGAAUACCGUUCGCGAAGGCGGCUCUCUGGUCUGCUACUGACGCUCAUGCACGAAAGCGUGGGGAGCGAACAGGAUUAGAUACCCUGGUAGUCCACGCCGUAAACGUUGUACACUUGGUGGUUGGAUUUAAA
Molecule: ribosomal RNA, 793 nt
Filed under: uncultured bacterium
Lineage: Bacteria
Description: bacterial SSU rRNA
Rfam family: Bacterial small subunit ribosomal RNA
Source: RNAcentral